Molecule: long non-coding RNA, 452 nt
Organism: Zalophus californianus (California sea lion)
Lineage: Eukaryota; Metazoa; Chordata; Mammalia; Carnivora; Otariidae
Exons: 3
Source: RefSeq, a predicted model, not a curated record
UGCUUUUAAAAUGAAAGGUUUGAAAACAACUGCGGAAUAGUGGAGGAAGGAAUGCCAGUCUUUGAAGACACACAGACCAGCGCACCGUGGUGUGUGGUACCAUGGAGACCACUGCCCGGACUCUGGCUGCUGGAGGAGUUUGAAGGUCAUGGGACAUAGAGAAGUGAAAAGCCACUCAUCUGCCUUUUUGGAAGGCAGCCACCACUUUACCUCUGGAAUUGUUCAAGACCGAAGAAGCUGUUUCACCUAUUUUGUUUGCUUACUUGUUUUUGCUUGCUUCUUUUCAUGUGUGGGUUUUUUCACAUCUGUUAAAAUCACUCAAAGUUUUGUUUUUUCUAAAGGGAGCUUAUCCCUUUCUGUUUCUUUAAACAACAGUGUCUGUAAUCACUAUUUUCCUCCUUCCUAGGAGUAGUUGAUAUUACGGAUUAUAAAAUGGUAAUAAAUAGCAUUUU